UUUUGAUUUGCUAAUGUCCAAUAAUCAACAUCCUUAAGAAUUCAAGACAUCUCGAUAGAAGUCAACAAACUUUGCAAAACAUUUUGUUCAUUCAGAAAUUUUAAUUCUAAUGGGAAGUUAGUCUAAGCUUGAUAAACUUCUACGUGAUUCAACUAUAUCCCGAUAAUUUUUAUUGGCUUUUUUGUAAAUUCUUACAAUCUAGAAGGGUUUAGGUGUUGCUGAUACAAGGUUAAUUUACAAGUUCAAUUAAUUAUUUUUCUGAUCUUGUCUUUCUUAGUGAGUACUGGCUAGGGAAUUUAAUGAAAAGGUUAAUUUAGUCUUAAAUAAUGUAAGGUGGAUACCUUUAUUUAUACAAGUUUGGGCUAUAAACUUUCAUAGGCCUCAAGAAUGUAAAAUAGUUUCUUUCUAAUGGUCAUAAGACAUAACCAAACACAUCAAACUUUCCAUUGAUAGAAACUUUUACCAAUCAUACUAGAGUAUGGAGAGGCAAAUUCAUGUCUGGGUGAAAAGAUGAGGUAGAAAUAGCUCUUAUGCCCCAUAAAGAAUUCCUCACAUCUUACUACUAGGCCAAGCAUAAGUUUUGGAACCAUGUCAUAGUAGACACACAUAUAUAUAUAGGUCCUAUAUUAGCAGUUAACAGUUUCAUCGUAUGCUUGAAACAAUUUUCGUUAGUUCAGCUCUACGAUAGAAGAGAACAGGCCCAGCCCAACUAUUCUUCUAGUGCAUAGUCAAGAUGAGAUUAUCAAGAUAAGUUCCUACACCCAAUACUAUCCCGAAACUGGAUCCAAGGCAAAAUUAGGAGAAUUUAAUAUCUUUACAUGACAUAACCAUCUUCAAUGACUGAAUUAGAAGCUUCAUCAUACACAUUUUAUCACAAGAAAUGAGUAGUUUUUUUUGCUUGAUCCUUUCUGGUUCUAUACUGGGAAUUACCUUUUCAAGUGUAUUUUUUUUUUUCCUGUUAUUUAAAGCAGAGUGUUUAUCACAAAAUUGAAUGUUGCACAUGAAUAUGCAUUUCUACUCUUGUUGCUCAAAACACAUGAAGUUGCCCUUCAAUUAAUUCUUUUAUCUUUCUCUUGUAUAGAAAACGCUUCCACAUGUUCAAUGACGUAAUCAUAAUCUAAAGCAAGAGUUAUUAUUAGGAAACAUCUCUCGAAUUUCCUUCCCUAAUGGGGUUAUUUUUUUACCAUCCAUACUAGGCUGUGUAUAAGAGGGACCCGUGUACUUAUCUAUAUAGUAUAUAUAUUUUGUUAGCGCCUACUUUUCCAUACUUCAUUAGAUUGUUGAUAUACAUUUAUGUUCUUAGGUAAAUUGUAAUUUUUGUAUUUUAGUAAAUGAUAAGGAAUGUUUUAGGGAAAAUCUCAACCUGUUAGGAUUGAAUUAUAAAAACAUACUNUACUCAACCUGUUAGGAUUGAAUUAUAAAACAAUACUAUACUUAAAUACCUCUUUGGUUAGGUUCAAUUGUG
This 1465-nucleotide long non-coding RNA is filed under the name Salvia miltiorrhiza (redroot sage). Its description in RNAcentral is "long non-coding RNA (SMIL_LNC008152)". The record is from RNAcentral. Lineage: Eukaryota; Viridiplantae; Streptophyta; Magnoliopsida; Lamiales; Lamiaceae.